AACAGGGAUUGCCCCAGUAACGGCGAGUGAAGCGGCAACAGCUCAAAUUUGAAAUCUGGCUCUCGGGCCCGAGUUGUAAUUUGUAGAGGAUGCUUUUGGUGAGGUGCCUUCCGAGUUCCCUGGAACGGGACGCCACAGAGGGUGAGAGCCCCGUCUGGUUGGACACCGAGCCUCUGUAAAGCUCCUUCGACGAGUCGAGUAGUUUGGGAAUGCUGCUCUAAAUGGGAGGUAUAUGUCUUCUAAAGCUAAAUACCGGCCAGAGACCGAUAGCGCACAAGUAGAGUGAUCGAAAGAUGAAAAGAACUUUGAAAAGAGAGUUAAACAGUACGUGAAAUUGUUGAAAGGGAAGCGCUUGUGACCAGACUUGGGCUUGGUUGAUCAUCCGGGGUUCUCCCCGGUGCACUCUUCCGGCUCAGGCCAGCAUCAGUUCGCCCUGGGGGAUAAAGGCAGCGGGAAUGUGGCUCUCUCCGGGGAGUGUUA
This 480-nucleotide ribosomal RNA is filed under the name Fusarium merkxianum. RNAcentral's name for it is "[Neocosmospora] merkxiana partial large subunit ribosomal RNA". It matches the Rfam family "Eukaryotic large subunit ribosomal RNA", at positions 67 to 558 of the family's 3401-position model. Lineage: Eukaryota; Fungi; Ascomycota; Sordariomycetes; Hypocreales; Nectriaceae. The record is from RNAcentral.